GUCAAGAACCAUGUUAACAAAAGGAAACUCCGAGCAGGAACCGUUCUUCAGGUGGCUUUCCUUUCGCUCAUCGUUCCUAUAUUUUAUUUCGCUUGUUUUUUACCAUCUUCCUUCUCUGUCUGUUUCAUGGUUGGGACGGUGGUGUGGCGCUGGGGCUGUCUUGCGGGUCGACCGGAGAGGGAGCACACCGAGUGGGCUUCUGAGAUGGCUGAGGGAUCUGUCUAGGGUUUCCUGGUUAAUCCAUUCUGAUUUUGGUCUGCUCAUGCUCUUGGCUUCUGGACCGUGGUGCUCGAGGUGGUCUGGCUGUCGUCGCCGCCCCUGCUCAAUGCUGCGCCACCCGUUUUCCCCGCCGUCGACGAGCUUCUCGGGCUCUUCAAUGAUUCUUACAAGGAGGUCAUAUGCAAGAGAGUAAGAGUUUUGAUGAAUUGCAGAGGCUGCUAAAAGACAGAGGCAUACAGUGUUUUUUUAUUCACUCAAUCAGGUUAAACACAGAACAAUGUAAG
This is a long non-coding RNA of Triticum aestivum (bread wheat), 503 nucleotides long. RefSeq lists it as uncharacterized. The record is from RefSeq and is a predicted model, not a curated record. The transcript is spliced from 3 exons. Lineage: Eukaryota; Viridiplantae; Streptophyta; Magnoliopsida; Poales; Poaceae.